UCUCAAACCACAUUCGAUUCCUUCAAUAAAAAGUUGUCGACCGAUUCGAGAGCCGUGUGAGCAGUGGGCGCAUA
This 74-nucleotide transfer RNA is filed under the name Candidozyma auris. RNAcentral describes it as "[Candida] auris tRNA-Val". Lineage: Eukaryota; Fungi; Ascomycota; Pichiomycetes; Serinales; Metschnikowiaceae. The record is from RNAcentral.